UUGGUGUAAAUUUGUUUAUACCGAUCCAGAAUCCCCUAAUAAAAUUCCCCCAACCCUAAUUUUGCAAAAAGCCCCUUGAAAAGUAACGACAAGGUGGGCUUCAGCACGAGCUUCCUCCAACUUCAUUAUGAGCUCCUCCAUGAAGGGUGCUCUUGUCCCAUGAAUGAUUCCAAGCAUUCCCAAGUAGAAAUCCUUGAUAGUGACGAGGCACCGUCCUCCUUUCUCUGGAACAUCUGAAAGAGCUAUACGCCGAUCUCGAAGAUCUCUCUGCAACUCCUCCGCGGACGCGCACGCCUCACGCUCUCUCCCUCCUGCCACCAGAACGUUCAAAUAAUGCCCACCGUUAAAGUAGCGGCAAGUUAAGAGUACGUGAGCGGUGCUCUCAUUACAUUCAAUAUUUUUCAUUCACAUCCAAUAAUUCUUGCAAGUUAAUCACUAUCAACCGAACGAUGCAUGCGAUGGGUCCAUACUUAAAAUCAACGGCUUCAGGACCGCCUGUGAGAAAAUAUUUUUAAGCACCACUGUGCCAAUUAGUAGCAUUGGUUCCUCCGCCCAGUAAUGAGAAAAACCUCCCUCUCAAAAUAGUUCUUCUCGGCUCAUGCCACUCUUGAGUUGCCUCCUUCGGUUUACGUCUCUGUCGUUUCGCUCUCUGGACAAGCUUAUAUCUGUAAGAACUAAAACGCACUACACUCACUGCCGAUCAGUAACCUGCAUGGAUAGCGGCGACGGCACCAGCUCGGCCUGUACGUUGGUAUUAUGUGGAAAAUCAUCAGCAGAGAAGGAAAUUGCUCUAUCUUUGAAGAAGAAUAGUGCUGUCAAACUCCCUGACGAUACUCCAGUUUCUAUACUCUUGGAAUCGGAGAUUGCUAAGCUGGACAAAGAGCCUUUCAAUGUAGAGCUGUUCUUCAAUUGUCUUUCCACCAGAAUUUUCGGUAGGUUCCUCAUUUGGUCUCCUCGAUUGACUUCGACUCACGAUGUCGUUUCGCUCAAUUUCUGUGAGCUUCCAAUCGGCGCUGCUUGUGUCGCUGAUGUUCAAUAUAAGGGACGAGGUCGAUCAAAGAAUGUGUGGGAAUCUCCUUUGGGCUGCUUGAUGUUUUCUUUUACUGUGCAAAUGGAGGAUGGGCGAGUUGUGCCUUUGUUGCAAUACGUGGUGUCUCUUGCCGUUACAGAAGCAAUAAAGGAUGUUUGUCACACAAAAGGCUUACCAUUUCUCGACAUUAAGAUAAAAUGGCCAAAUGAUCUUUACUUAAACGGCCUUAAAGUUGGUGGCAUCCUAUGCACUUCAACUUAUAAAUCAAAGAAGUUCAAUGUUAGUGCUGGUAUAGGUUUGAAUAUCAACAAUGAGAAACCAACAACAUGCUUGAAUGCGAUACUAAGAGAAUUAUCUACUGCUGAUUUCCAAUUUAGCCGAGAAGAUAUUAUAGCAGCUUUUUUUAACAAAUUUGAAAAUCUCUAUGAUCUUUUCAUAAAUCAAGGAUUCCAAACUCUUGAGGAACUGUACUAUAGAACAUGGCUACACAGUGAGCAGAGAGUCAUCAUACAAGAAAAAAAUGGAGAUCAAGUAGUGGAGAAUGUGGUCACUAUUCAGGGCUUGACAUCCUCAGGGUAUUUAUUAGCUGUUGGCGAUGACAAUCAGAUGUGUGAGCUUCAUCCUGAUGGCAAUAGGAACAACUAGGACCACUGAGAUAGUGGCAAAGGCUUUCAUUAUCUAAAGUUAAUUUCUGUCAAACAAAAGAAGGGAAAGAAGUUCAAAUGGUGAAUACCAAUUCUUAAAGUACAUCAUACAAGAUGCGCUAUGGGGCUGCGGCUAGAUUUCAUUACUUCCCCUACUAUAUUAGGGGCUUUUGUAUCUAUUUAGUUGCUUAGUAAGAUCAGCCAUUGGAUUUGGAAAAAAAAUAAUUUUGGUCUGAAACAUAUCUUUUUCUUUUUUACCAAAAUACCAUGAGGUUCUUCUCAAAGCCCAGCAAGUAGCACCACAAAAGUGGUUGCUCUCAUGCAUUGUAUUGAUUUUGAUUGUCUUCAAAAAGGGACCUCUAUCAGUGGCCUAUCUAAGGUUGUAGCAUCUGGUAUUUGUUUUGCUUUGUAUAAUUCUUUUAUCCUUGGAAUUGUAAUUAUCUUCCACA
Molecule: RNA transcript, 2123 nt
Organism: Manihot esculenta (cassava)
Lineage: Eukaryota; Viridiplantae; Streptophyta; Magnoliopsida; Malpighiales; Euphorbiaceae
Gene name: biotin--protein ligase 2
Exons: 10
Source: RefSeq, a predicted model, not a curated record